This is a long non-coding RNA of Alexandromys fortis (reed vole), 4235 nucleotides long. RefSeq lists it as uncharacterized. The record is from RefSeq and is a predicted model, not a curated record. NCBI's taxonomy places the organism in Eukaryota, Metazoa, Chordata, Mammalia, Rodentia, Cricetidae. The transcript has 4 exons.
CUUUACCACAGUUACUUGUUCUCUUGUUGCAGUGGCAGGAAUGCAGCUGGAAAAUCCUCAGAUGCUUGUUCCCUCUGAAAAUUAACUAGAGGACAAACAAUGGAGUGCUUGCAUUAAACUCUGGCUCUGGGUCACUCCCGUGUAUUGUAGGGAUAAAAGACAUAUGCCGCUACCCAAAGCCCCAUGCUGACUCUUGAGAGGAUGAGAGGUCAAGUUAGUGCUGUGUCAAGGAUACACAAGCAGUGUAUAAAGAGGCUCAUGUGGCAAUAAUGGCAAAUGCUUGCCAACUCUGUGGAAUGGAGCCAUCCAGGAAACAGACGCCCAGCUCCAGUCCAACUGCAAAAUACCUGCAGCUCCUGCCAACGUCUUGAGCUUACCACAGUGGAAUGAGGACCUGGAUCAGGCCACCCAGACCUUAUGUCCAUCAUGGCAGUGAAGACACUGAGAAACAACACCGUGUGGAAGGAGGAUGUGUCAGAAGUCCUCGUGUGGUGGCAGACCAGGAAGCAGACAGAGCAGCCAACACUAAAAGUAAAUCAACCUUCAGACCCAGCCCAUGGUGGCCCCACCUCUACCAGCUAAGCCACUUACAUUAGCAAUUCCACCAUCUUCAAAAGCAGUGACCACAUGCUGGCGUGUGAGGUUCAAACCCAUGAGCCUUCAGAGGACAUUUCAUGUUGGAAGGUAGUUUUGGAGGGUGGCUGUCAAACAAAAAAGUAAAAAGAGGGAAGAGUAUUUGGGAUGGAGAGAAGUGGCAAGACGCUGUGGAUAAAACACGCUUGGUUUUUGAAGGACUCCCAAGACCUGCACACAUGAAUGAAAACAUGCUUUCAAAGCUAGAACCGCCUCCUCGGGGAAUUGCCUCAUUGUUCUUUCUGAUGGAGCAUCUACUGUUUCAGUUCUUGGCCAUUUCUUAGGGUUAGGAUUCAACUCAUGGGAAGACAUGUUCUUUCCCAAAGAAAUACAAAGGAUACUGUUCAUGGGUACAUAAGUGAAUUCUACCCUGUUGAAGCCAUUCCAACGGUGUGAGGAUUUCUUGGUAUGGUCUCGAUUUACAUUUCCUUAAUGGCUAAAAACACCAAGCAUAUUUGCAUAUGCUUAACUGACCAUUUUUACAUUUUUUUAACACAAUGCACAUUUGCAUUCUUUGAUGGUUCAACAUGUUUCUCUUAUUUUUGCAUCUUAAGAAUUCUUUAUAUAUCCUGAGAAGAAACCCUUAAGGAAACAAAUGGUUUAGAGUUAUUUCCUACCAUUAUGAAUUCAUCUUCCCACUUUGUGGAUGCUCUUGUUUGAUAACCAAAUUUCCAACUUUACCCACAUAUGCAUUUAUUCUUUUGUUGCUUAUACUUUCAAAGAAAACAUGAAAGGAAAUAAUCAAAGAACUCAUUUGAAAAAAAAGAAAACAGAAAAGAGAAACAAGCAAAACUCAUGAACAUUUACUAUGCUUUCUUCUGUGAGUUUUUGUGUGUUUACAUUUAGAUUUUUGAUUUGUGUGUGUAUGUGUGUGUUUUUGAAAAAUGCAUGUGUGUAAUAAGGACUUCUGCAGUAGUAGGGCGGGGUGGAGGGCUGGAAGAGGGCAAGCAGACCUGAAACAGAAAUGUUAGAAAGCCACAAGGAGUGAACACAGGCACACAGUAGCACAGAGGAACAUGGGGACAGAGUGGAAGUAGCUCUGCAGGGCAGUUCUUGUAAAAAGGAUGUUUCAGAACCUAAAAUGGCCAAGAAAGCAAACUGGUGCAGUGAGUUCAUUUGAUUUUUUAUCCUAACAUGGGUCCUGCCUGUGUCUUUCCCCAAGGUAGAUUUUAAAAAAUCAGAGCAAAGGAAUUGAAGAAAAGGGAGAAAAGGUUCAUAGCUCCAGGUUGCCAAGUUCCAGAAAUGGUAGUGGGAGGGUACUCUGUAUAAACAAAAGUUUAGCAGGUAGGUGUCUUAGUUAAUGUUCUAUUGCCAUAAAGAGACACCAAGACCAUGGCAACCCUUAUAAAGGAAAACAUUUAAGUGGGGGCUGGCUUACAGUUCAGAACCUGAGUUUAUUAUCAGCAAGGCAGGAAGCAUGGCAGCUUGUAGGCACACACCGUGCUGUAGAAGGAGCUGAGAGUUCUACAUCUGGAUUGGCCAAAAGCAGGAAGAGAAAGACAUUGAGUCUGUCUUGAGCUUUUUGGAACCCCAAAGCCCAACCCCAGGUACACACUUUCUCCAACAAGGCCACAGCUACCACAAGACCACACCUUCUAAUAGAAUUGUUGGAGGAGACCACUUGUUGGUUCUUGGCUGCUCAGCCCCAAAAUAAUUACUCAGAAACUAUAUUAUUUAAAUCACUGCUUGGCCCAUUAGCUCUAGCUUCUUAUUGGCUAACUCUUACAUCUUAAUUUAACCCAUCUCCAUUAAUCUGUGCAUUACCAUGAGGUUGUGGCCUACCAGCAAAGUUUCAGCAUGUCUGUCCCUGGCAGCGGCUCCAUGACUUCUCUCUGACUCCACCCUUCUUUCUCCCAGUAGUCAGUUUAGUUUUCCCCACCUAGCUCUGUUCCCCUAUAGCUCUACGACAGGCCCAAAGCAGUUUCUUUAUUAACCAAUGAUAUUCACAGCAUACAAAGGGGAAUCCUACAUCAUAGUGCCAUUCUCUGGUGACCAAGCAUUCAAAUCUAUGAGCCUAUUUCAAACCGCCACAUUCAGGGAGAUCAAAAUAUUUGCAUGAAAUUUUUAUGAGGUGGUGGAGAUCAAAGGUGGAGGAAAUUUACCAAAUGUCCUUUGCAAACAAGCUACCUUUGAUAGGAGAAACCAAAAGGAAUUAUUUCUUACAGAAAGCUGAUCAACAACAAAGUACAAAUGAAAAUGACACAAUGUGACCCAUUUGUCUAUAUGCUUGUUUAAAAAAGUAAUAAAAAGAAUAUUCUUGUGUGUACCAACUGGCAAAGAUUCAAAUUCACCCUUUGUCUGUGGAGACUCAACUGUCUCUCCUCCAGAAAGGGUUUCAUUCCCCAUUGAGUUAGCUUUGCACCUCUGUUGAAGGGAAUUGGUGAUAAAUGCAUGGGUUUGUUUGUUGAUUGCCAAUUUUAUUUCAUUGAACUCUGCAUCUGUCUGUAUGUGAGCACUGUGCUGUUUUGUUACUAAACAUUUAUAGAGAAUUCUGAAAUUUGGGAGUGUCUGGGUUCUCAAAAUUACUCUUAUUUUUCAAAAGUACUUUUAAUUUUGUCUGGGUCUGGGUCUUUUGUCUUUCUACCUGAAUUUAAGUAUUAACCGACACCAUGAUAGGUAUAUUUUUGUAUGUAUACAUGGAACUAAGGAGCUUGACCAUCUUAGCAAUCUUAAGUCUUCUGAUCUAUGAACAUCUAUAAAAAUCAGAUUUCUUAGAUCUUAAAACACUAUGAUGGCUUUAUGUAUGUCUCCCACUCCUUUUAUUGUAUGUUUUUCAAUGUGUUUGAUUAACUUUAUUUUGGUCUUUUAUUCUUAAUAACAUUGUAAGCAGCACCUAUAUCUUAAUUUAACUUCCAAAAAUUUCACAACCUUUUCUUCUUCUUGCCUAUUGUCCUGGCUAGUUCUUCCAUCUCAGUAUUGACUAAAAGUUGCAAGAAUGAACAUUGUUGUUUUGAUACUGACCUUACAGUAAAAUAUUUAGUUUUUAACAUUAAGUAUGAUGUGAACUUAUAGAUUUUUUUCAUAAAUAGUUUCCCCAGGUUAUGAAAGUUAUUCCCAUUUGUUUGCUACUAUGUAAUGGUGUUGAAGUUUUGUCAAUUUUUUCCCAUAUACAUAUCGAUGAGCAUAUUUUUUUAAUCUUUUAAUUUUUUAUUCUUUUUUAUUCUACAACAUGGUAUAUUUAAAUGAACCUUGCACUUCUAGGUUAGGUCCCAUUUACAUUCAGUGCCUACUCCUUUUUACACAGUUCAAUUUGCCGGUGUCUGGUAGUAUUCUGCUAAGUUUUGUUCUGAUCUUUCUUUAUAAAGAUUGUUGGUCAGUUGUUUUUUUAUAAUGUCUUUGCAUACGCUGUCCCAAUUAUUUAAGCCUCCUAUAACAGAUUGAGAAGUAUUCAUUGUGUUCUUAUCCUUGCUUGAAAAAAAAUCCUGAAGAUUGACUUUAAUUUUUUCUUUGAAUGCUUGGUAAGUUUGAAACUGACUGACUUAGCCGUACUCUGGGUCACUCAUUUAGUUUGUUUUCUGCAUCUCAAGUAAGCAUUUAGAAUUUAUCAUCUUUCUGGAGCUGUACCAUUCCAUGUAAGUUGUUAAUUGUUUUUUUAUAUGCAU